This 436-nucleotide ribosomal RNA is filed under the name uncultured bacterium. RNAcentral's name for it is "partial 16S ribosomal RNA". It matches the Rfam family "Bacterial small subunit ribosomal RNA", at positions 29 to 507 of the family's 1533-position model. The record is from RNAcentral.
AACGAACGCUGGCGGCAUGCCUAACACAUGCAAGUCGAACGAGAUCCUUCGAGGUCUAGUGGCGCACGGGUGCGUAACGCGUGGGAAUCUGCCCUUAGGUUCGGAAUAACAGUUAGAAAUGACUGCUAAUACCGGAUGAUGACGUUAAGUCCAAAGAUUUAUCGCCUGAGGAUGAGCCCGCGUAGGAUUAGCUAGUUGGUGUGGUAAAGGCGCACCAAGGCGACGAUCCUUAGCUGGUCUGAGAGGAUGAUCAGCCACACUGGGACUGAGACACGGCCCAGACUCCUACGGGAAGCAGCAGUGGGGAAUAUUGGACAAUGGGCGCAAGCCUGAUCCAGCAAUGCCGCGUGAGUGAUGAAGGCCUUAGGGUUGUAAAGCUCUUUUACCCGGGAUGAUAAUGACAGUACCGGGAGAAUAAGCCCCGGCUAACUCCGUG